This 467-nucleotide ribosomal RNA is filed under the name uncultured bacterium. Its description in RNAcentral is "partial 16S ribosomal RNA". It matches the Rfam family "Bacterial small subunit ribosomal RNA", at positions 28 to 507 of the family's 1533-position model. The record is from RNAcentral.
GAUGAACGCUGGCGGCGCGCCUAACACAUGCAAGUCGAACGAUUAAAGCACCUUCGGGUGUGUAUAAAGUGGCGAACGGCUGAGUAACACGUGGGCAACCUGCCCCUUUCAUUGGGAUAGCCACGGGAAACCGUGGAUAAUACCGAAUACUUCGAGACUUCCGCAUGGAAGACUCGAGAAAGCUCCGGCGGAGAGGGAUGGGCCCGCGGCCUGUUAGCUUGUUGGUGGGGUAACGGCCUACCAAGGCAAUGAUGGGUAGCUGGGUUGAGAGACCGACCAGCCCGGUUGGGACCGGAGACCCGCCCCGGCCCCUACCGGAGGCAGCAGUGGGGAAUCUUGCACAAUGGGCGAAAGCCUGAUGCAGCGACGCCGCGUGCGGGAUGAAGGCCUUCGGGUUGUAAACCGCUUUCAGCAGGGACGAGGCGAAAGUGACGGUACCUGCAGAAGAAGCCCCGGCUAACUACGUG